This 253-nucleotide ribosomal RNA is filed under the name uncultured bacterium. RNAcentral describes it as "partial 16S ribosomal RNA". It matches the Rfam family "Bacterial small subunit ribosomal RNA", at positions 524 to 776 of the family's 1533-position model. The record is from RNAcentral.
UACGAACUGUGCGAACGUUAUUCGGGAUCACUGGGCUUACAGGGUGCGUAGGCGGCUUGUUAAGUAGGGUGUGAAAGCCCCCGGCUCAACCGGGGAAUGGCGCCCUAAACUGGCGAGCUAGAGUGAGAUAGGGGUGUGUGGAACUUCCGGUGGAGCGGUGAAAUGUGUUGAUAUCGGAAGGAACGCCGGUGGCGAAAGCGACACACUGGAUCUUGUCUGACGCUGAGGCACGAAAGCCAGGGGAGCGAACGGG